Molecule: long non-coding RNA, 1418 nt
Filed under: Homo sapiens (human)
Lineage: Eukaryota; Metazoa; Chordata; Mammalia; Primates; Hominidae
Description: HSALNT0125947
Source: RNAcentral
AGCGUCAGCGUCGGAGGCGGUAGUGACGGUGGCGUUUCCUUGAGGAAGAGUGAGGGUUCCAACUUUUCUGCUUAUCUGGGAGGUGUUGGGCGCGGACAGUCGAGAUGUCAGAGAAAAAGCAGCCGGUAGACUUAGGUCUGUUAGAGGAAGACGACGAGUUUGAAGAGUUCCCUGCCGAAGGGACCAAUGCAGAUGGAAGCGACCUACUUAACAGUUUAGGAAGCUGGUUAUUUGGAAGUGGUUCAAGCUGAGUAGAAUCUGCUUGUUGUCUUAGAACCUUGAAACAGUUCUGUUGUGAUUUUGAGUUAUGUCACCCCCUUUACUCAAGAACAUAGUAUCUAGUCUUUAUUUAAAUUAUUUUUUUGUAACAUAAAACUCCAUUAGACAUCUUUAUAAAGACUCCUUAAAAUAACUAUCAAAUAGAUAAUUUCUAUUUCCAGGCUCAACCCACAUAGCAUAUUUAAAGCUUGAGAUUUGAGGUUAGAGAAUAGUGGUAAUACGUACGUACUUUCUCACCAUUCUAAACAAAAGCUGAAAUCUCAAUCUAAACCUCCCCUCUACCACUACCAAAGGGAGGAAGAAAAUCUAGAAAACUAAAAACUACAAUAUUCUUCUUUAUGCAUAUUUAUGUUUAUUCUUCCUUUAAAAAUAUAAAUUUUGUAUCAGUUGUAUUAGGCAGAUACUAGUGGUGGCUUACAGUUUGGUCUACUUUUAAAUAUUUGUAUAUAAGUUAUCCUUACGUUUUGCAGUUUUGAAUUUCACACUGGUAUCUUCCUGCCAUUCAACUUGCUUUAGGGUUGUUGGUGUUGUGUUUUGAAAGAUUGUGAAGUCGACCUUCUAAAAAUGAGUUCAAAGAAAAAUCAGUAAAGUAAAUAUCCUCCUGAAAUUGUAAGUUUCUUGGCAAGUAGAAUUUUUUGUAUUAACUUCUGUUUUAGGUUAUCUGCAAACUCAAGAAUUGAGAGAACUAGACAGCAUAAGCUCAGAUUUAAGGAAGAUACCAUUUUUCAUAGAUAUGGUUUUAGCUGUUUUUGAAUUGUGAGUGUUCAGUAGCAAGCUUUUCAAAGUUUUUGUAAUUGUGGAAAUAAUGUAUGAGAAAUAUUUAGACAGCAUCUGUUUCUAUUUUUAGACUGGGCUGGCUUAGAUGAAGAUGAAGAUGCACAUGUCUGGGAGGAUAAUUGGGAUGAUGACAAUGUAGAGGAUGACUUCUCUAAUCAGUUACGAGCUGAACUAGAGAAACAUGGUUAUAAGAUGGAGACUUCAUAGCAUCCAGAAGAAGUGUUGAAGUAACCUAAACUUGACCUGCUUAAUACAUUCUAGGGCAGAGAACCCAGGAUGGGACACUAAAAAAAUGUGUUUAUUUCAUUAUCUGCUUGGAUUUAUUUGUGUUUUUGUAACACAAAAAAUAAAUGUUUUGAUAU